Drosophila mojavensis is the source of this 317-nucleotide long non-coding RNA. RefSeq lists it as uncharacterized. The transcript has 2 exons. NCBI's taxonomy places the organism in Eukaryota, Metazoa, Arthropoda, Insecta, Diptera, Drosophilidae. The record is from RefSeq and is a predicted model, not a curated record.
GCCUGUGAUCGAUAACAAAGAAGGGAGAGAGAGAGAGAGAGAUAUCGAUUAUUAUUGGACAGGGUAACAGGCAACAGCAAUAAAUAGUUUUGUUUAUGUUUCUUCUUCUGCUUCUUGGCUGGACUGGGGCAUGCAACAUGCGUUGCACGGUCGAGUGCUUACCUUCUCGGCGCGGGUGUUGGCAUCGCGUGCCUCCUGCUCGCAAACGAGAGCGCGCUCCAAUGCGCUAUCCUUGUCGACUUUCAUCGCUUGCAUCUUCUUCUUGAUGGCAUCCAUGGUGGCUGGCUUUUAUUUGUCUCUACUGCGCUCGAAAGAAA